Molecule: long non-coding RNA, 552 nt
Filed under: Daucus carota (carrot)
Lineage: Eukaryota; Viridiplantae; Streptophyta; Magnoliopsida; Apiales; Apiaceae
Description: long non-coding RNA (DCAR_LNC005446)
Source: RNAcentral
UAUUCUUCUAUCCCGUUCUAAUCUAUUAUCACCCUGUUGUCCAUCUUGUUGGAGCUACGAUCAAAUAAUUCACUUGCAGGACGUGUGUAUAAUGUCUAAUCAGAAUCCGGAAACUGGUAUGUACUGCAUAAAUUUUGGUGUUUCACAUACAUGGAUUCAGUUCCUAAAUUUUUGUAUUCUCUAGCAACAUCGUGUUGUAGGUGUUUGUGUUUUGUUCUAUGAGUCACCGUAUGUUCUGCACUUUUUUUUUGUUCAAUUCCGGUUUUUUGUUGUUUACCAAGAACAGACAUGUGUUCCAUUCACUGGUUUGGGAAUUAAUUUUGAAUUUGUAUUGUUUCUAGGUGAUUCAGAUGCCCCUCAUAUUGAGAGUUCCGAUUCCGAACAUUCAUUUAUAGAUUCUGAUGAUGAAUGUGGUGAAACUGAUGAGGACAGUCUACAUGAAUUUGGUACUGCAGGGGAAUCUCUAUAUCCCAAAGUUCCCGCCCCUAGAGUAGCUGUCACUCCUAGUGGUGAUAAAGUCUGGAUUCCAUCUUGCGACGAUGUAUAUAAACC